Molecule: ribosomal RNA, 1833 nt
Filed under: Epistylis sp. 9
Lineage: Eukaryota; Ciliophora; Oligohymenophorea; Sessilida; Epistylidae
Description: partial large subunit ribosomal RNA
Rfam family: Eukaryotic large subunit ribosomal RNA
Source: RNAcentral
UUAAGCAUAUCAGUAAGCGGAGGAAAAGAAAAUAACAAUGAUUACCUCAGUAGCGGCGAGUGAAGAGGUAUUAGCCCAAGAUGUUAAUCUGUGUUAAAGACAUAGAAUUGUAAUCUAUGGAAUCAAUCAGAAAGCGGAAGCCUGCCAUAAGUCUCUUGGAACAGAGCGCCAAAGAGGGUGAAAGCCCCGUCUUCGGGUAGGACGAUGCAAUAUGAAAGAUUUCUAAGAGUCGGGUAGUUUGGGAAUGCUGCCCUAAGUGGGAGAUAAACUUCUCCUAAGGCUAAAUAUUUAUAGGAGACCGAUAGCAUACAAGUACUGCGAAGGAAAGAUGAAAAGAACUUUGAAAAGAGGGUUAAAAGACUUGAAAUCGUUGAAAAGGAAGCAGUAAAAGAGAAAUUAUUUACUUGCGAAUAAGGUUUUGGGCUAAGCUCUGUGGUGUAUGAUUCUUAACAAGGUCAUUGCCAUUCUGCGAAAACCAACUCACUUUUUACAGGUAAUAGACAAAAUGAGAUUGAGUUGUAAAAAUAAGGUUAGAAGUGUAUUCUUCGACUCGAAUUUACAAGUCAGUCUGAGGGAUCUUAGGAUGAUUUUGUCAAAAUGGCUUUUACUGACCCGUCUUGAAACACGGACCAAGGAGUCUACCUAUUAUGCGAGUGUUGGGGUGGAAAAACCCGAACGCCAACCGAAAGGGAUUUAAGAUGUGAGGCGCGAGCUACAACAUCAACCAAUCUUGAUUCUUUGAAGAAAGACUUGAGUAAGAGCAUAAUCGGUAGGACCCGAAAGAUGGUGAACUACGGUUGAGUAGGGUGAAGCCAGGGGAAACUCUGGUGGAGGCUCGAAGCGUUACUGACGUGCAAAUCGUUCGUCAAACUUGACUGUAGGGGCGAAAGACUAAUCGAACCAUCUAGUAGCUGGUUCCCUCUGAAAUUUCUCUCAGGAUAGCAGGAACAGAUAAAGCAGUUUUAUCAGGUAAAGCUAAUGAUUAGUGGAAUCGGGGGUCUCCGACCCUUGACCAAUUCUCAAACUUUAAAUUGGUAAGAACCUGGAGUUUUCUUAAUUGAACUUUAGGGUAGAAUGCAUUGUUCUUAGUGGGCCAUUUUUGGUAAGCAGAACUGGCGAUGAGGGAUGAACCUAACGUUGAGAUAAGGUGCCCAAAUUCACGCUCAUCAGACACCAUAAAAGGCGUUGGUUAGUAUAAACAGCCGGACUGUGGCCAUGGAAGUCGGCACCAGCUAAGGAGUGUGUAACAACUCACCAGCCGAAUUAACCAGCCCUGAAAAUUGAUGGCGCUAAGCGUGAUACCGAUACUCAACCAUCAUAGCAAAUAGAAGUUGUGAUGAGUAAGAGGGCGUGAAGACUGUGUAGAAGGCUUGGAUGUGAAUCUGGCUGGAACAGUCUUUAGUGCAGAUCUUGGUGGUAGUAGCAAAUAUUCAAAUGAGAACUUUGAAGACCGAAGUGGAGAAGGGUUCCAUGAGAACAGCAUUUGGUCAUGGGUUACUCGAUCCUAAGACAUAGGGAAAUUCCUUGUAAUACAUUUAUACUUAACGUAUAUGUAGUCAAAAGGGAAUGAGGUUCAUAUUCCUCAAGCUGGAUGUGGGGGCUAUGUGGCAACACAAACAAGCUCGAAGACAUCGGUAUGUGCAACUGGAAGAGUUCUCUUUUCUUCUUAACAGUCUAUCUCCCUGAAAGGAUUAUCCAGAGCUAGGGAUAUAUGGCUGGCAGAGCAGUUCUCCAUUGAAUUGUCAGUGAAGCUCAUAACGAUCCUUGAAAAUUCGAGUAAGAUUAUCCCAUCACACCAGGUCGUACCCAUAACCGCAUCAGGUCUCCAAGGUU